Molecule: ribosomal RNA, 274 nt
Filed under: uncultured bacterium
Lineage: Bacteria
Description: partial 16S ribosomal RNA
Rfam family: Bacterial small subunit ribosomal RNA
Source: RNAcentral
AUACGGAGGGUCCGAGCGUUAUCCGGAAUCAUUGGGUUUAAAGGGUCCGUAGGCGGGAAUCUAAGUCAGUGGUGAAAUCUUGCAGCUCAACUGUAAAAUUGCCAUUGAUACUGGAUUUCUUGAAUUAGUGUGAAGUGGUUAGAAUGUGUAGUGUAGCGGUGAAAUGCAUAGAUAUUACACAGAAUACCAAUUGCGAAGGCAGAUCACUAACACUAUCUUGACGCUAAGGGACGAAAGCGUGGGGAGCGAACAGGAUUAGAUACCCCGGUAGUCC